GCAUCUCUGUCUGCCUAAGUUAGGACAAUGUGAGGCCCAUCCAACAGAAGUUGAAAGAAAGCUGGAAUGACUUCUUCCAAGAGGCUGACUCAAACUGGAGUCUCUCAUAAUGGAACCCCCAGAGAAGGGGAAGAGCGACGAGAGCUUGUCCAAGAAGAACAGAGACUUGCUUCGUCUGGAGGCGCAAGAGAAGAGGAGACGGGAGGCUCCAGGGGAGAAAGACCAGUUCCCUGGGAAGACUCCCAUCUUUGCAAAACCCCACAAGACUGAUAACAAAGAUGCGCUGUCAAAGCGCAUUAGGAAGGUCAUGGGCAAUUUUAAUGAUUUCAAGGCAUACAUGAGACAGAAUUUUCGGAAGGUCAUAUGGAUUCCAAAAAAGUUCAAGUCCAGGUCAUGGAGCAGGACCAACUGUCGUGAACCGAGCUCCAGUCAAACCAAGACAUUUCAGAGCUCAGUGAUGGAACAGCCACUUAAAAAUUCUAAGACAUCAGAAUCACCUGAGCUUGAACCGUUCCUGGAGAAAAGCAACUCUACGGAUGUGUCGUCCGUUGAGGACAUUUUGAGGGAAAUGACCUUCUCAUUUUCACGUCCAGUGUCACCUCUGCACACACCUCCAAAAGCAGAGCCUUCUGAAUUGCGUUGCUCAAAAAAGCAAACCAACUCCACGGAUGUGCCGUCCAUUGAGGACAUUUUGAGGGAAAUGACCUACUCAUUUUCACGUCCAGUGUCACCUCUGCAGACACCUCCAAAAGCAGAGCCUUCCGAAUUGCCCUGCUCAACAAAGCAAACCAACACCACGGAUGUGCCAUCCAUUGAGGACAUUUUGAGGGAAAUGACCUACUCAUUUUCACGUCCCGUGUCACCUCUGCAGACGCCUCCGAAAGCAGAGCCUGCCAAAUUGCCCUGCUCAACAAAGGACACAGAUGGCUCUGCAGCUCAGAAUCAGGUGUGCUCCUGGACGACCUGCAGCUCAGUGAUAGUGAGGAGAGUGAUGACAACCAGGUUGUUGAAAGGCCACCUUCUCCACUUGCUCCUCCAAGGCACAGCGUGCUCCUGGAUGACCUGCAGCUCAGUGACAGUGAGGAGAGUGAUGACAACCAAGUUGUUGAAAAACCUCCUUCUGCACUUGUUUCUCCAAGAGACAGUGCCCUACAGUCCCAGCCCAGGAGUGUGGCAUCAUCUCCAUCCAGCAGCUCCGAGACCAGUGACUCAGAGAGCUCCUCCGACUUGGAGAUGGAGACCACCUGGAGUGACGGUGACGUGGGCGACCCUCCAAGUGCACCAGCACCUGAGGACAUGGACGGCUCUGCAGCUCAGAAUGAGGGUUGUUGAAAAGCCUCCUUCUCCACUUGGUGGUCCAAGAUCUUUGCAGUCCAGCAGCUCAGAGUCAGGGAGCACCAGUGACUCUGAGAGCUCCUCAUCCCCGGAGACAACUGACUCAGAGAGCUCCUCGGGCUCAGAGACCCACCACACUGGGGGUGUCAAAAGGCCUGGCAAGCCCCUGGUGCACAACGGGGCCAAGAGAUGCCGGAAGGAGGACAGCAACCCUGAUCCAUUGGAGAUCAGAGCCCAGUCUUCCAGGGACAAACAGAGGGUCAAAAAAAGAGCAAAGCCGGAAUCUACUUGCAGGAAAGACCUGAAGCCGACCCUCCAAGAGCCCCUUGAGAACAGAAAGGGCUCCCAGCAGGCCGAAGUGAAACAGCCCUUUGCUCUCGGGGUGAAGGAGUUGCUCUCGCCAGUGAGAGACCCCGCAGCUCCUGAGCCUGUCCGGGUGAAAGAAGAGCACCAGAGAAGAGCAGAGACCAAGGACCUCCCUUGUGCAAGGAAGCGGGACUUGAAGAGGAGAGCCAUGGACAGUCCUGAUGAGCCCAGUGGGAAGAAAAAGAGGGGAGAGAUAUGAAGAUUAAAGCUAAUCUUCAGUAAGCAAAGACUGCAAUAAAGUGAAAAACUGUUGUGCAAUCAAAUGUACAAGAAGAUGGUGCAGCUGACAGGUAGAGCAAGUGAGCUGCAGGAGUCAGACCUCAUGAAAAAAUCAUCUGGUAAUUGUUUUUCACCAGAGAGGAGUGGCACCUCGAAGGGAAUGGUGGAAGGACGUUUCGGUUUCAGGGCACGCUGCUGACCAGACGUCCUCCAGCACCCUACCUCUUACUUAGAGGUAAAAUCACCCAGCUUUACUAACUCUGACAUCACAAAAACUUCAAUAGUCAUCUAGUGAGAAGAAUAAAAAGAGCUAGAUACAGAAGCAAAACCCAGAAGCAGCAAGCUGUCGUUUUUCAUCAGCUUAUUACUGAUCUGCCUUUGAUGUUUCCGGAUGCAACUGUCAAGGUCAGCCAGUACUAAACUGAGUAUGAUAAUUUGUUGCUGUGGCCAGUGAUAUAGCAGUACAUGGAGUAAGUGAGAGGAAAAUUUGUUUGUUCUUGGAGAGGAGCCUUCUCAGUUGGUGCUAGAGUAGCCAUGGUUCUGCUUACACUCAGUGUGACUGCUGGGAAAGACAUCAAGGAGUUUCCCUCCACGAAGUCAUCAGUAAGGAGUUCCUACAUUUGAAGAAUAAGGCUAAAGAAAAAUUGAGAGUGCACCAAGAGAACAUCAGGUUAUCAUGCAAAGGCCUCAACAUGAAGAAGCAUGUGACUAAUUAAUUAAACUACUCAAACCCGGAAAAAUGGAUGGCAUCAGACUUAAGAAGAUGAAAUUAUCCUUCUAAAGAAAUGGAAAAAGACCCAAAAGAAGUAUAUUGAGGAGCCCUGAAUGCAAAUAGAUUUCUGUAAUUUCAAG
Molecule: RNA transcript, 2772 nt
Organism: Chiroxiphia lanceolata (lance-tailed manakin)
Lineage: Eukaryota; Metazoa; Chordata; Aves; Passeriformes; Pipridae
Gene name: AF4/FMR2 family member 1-like
Exons: 25
Source: RefSeq, a predicted model, not a curated record